UAGUCCACGUCGUAAACGAUGGUCACUAGCUGUUCGAACUUCGGUUUGAGUGGCUAAGCGAAAGUGAUAAGUGACCCACCUGGGGAGUACGUUCGCAAGAAUGAAACUCAAAGGAAUUGACGGGGCCCGCACAAGCGGUGGAGCAUGUGGUUUAAUUCGAUGAUACGCGAGGAACCUUACCAGGGCUUAAAUGUAGAUUGCAUUAGCUAGAGAUAGCUAUUUCUUCGGACUAUCUACAAGGUGCUGCAUGGUUGUCGUCAGCUCGUGCCGUGAGGUGUCAGGUUAAGUCCUAUAACGAGCGCAACCCCUAUCGUUAGUUGCUAGCAGGUCAUGCUGAGGACUCUAACGAGACUGCCGGUGCAAACCGUGAGGAAGGUGGGGGAUGACGUCAAAUCAUCACGGGCCCUUACGUCCUGGGGCUACACACGUGCUACAAUGGGUAUAUACAGAGGGGCAGGCUACCUAGUGAUAGGGAUGCGAAUCUUGAAAGUAUAU
Molecule: ribosomal RNA, 495 nt
Filed under: uncultured bacterium
Lineage: Bacteria
Description: bacterial SSU rRNA
Rfam family: Bacterial small subunit ribosomal RNA
Source: RNAcentral